AUUACCGCGGCUGCUGGCACGAAGUUUGCCGGGGCUUAUUCUCCAGGUACCGUCAUUAUCGUCCCUGGCAAAAGAGCUUUACAAUCCGAAGACCUUCUUCACUCACGCGGCAUGGCUGGAUCAGGCUUGCGCCCAUUGUCCAAGAUUCCCCACUGCUGCCUCCCGUAGG
This 169-nucleotide ribosomal RNA is filed under the name uncultured bacterium. RNAcentral describes it as "partial 16S ribosomal RNA". The record is from RNAcentral.